Molecule: ribosomal RNA, 373 nt
Filed under: Streptococcus australis
Lineage: Bacteria; Bacillati; Bacillota; Bacilli; Lactobacillales; Streptococcaceae
Description: bacterial SSU rRNA
Rfam family: Bacterial small subunit ribosomal RNA
Source: RNAcentral
GAUGAACGCUGGCGGCGUGCCUAAUACAUGCAAGUAGAACGCUGAAGGAAGGAGCUUGCUCUUUCCGGAUGAGUUGCGAACGGGUGAGUAACGCGUAGGUAACCUGCCUGGUAGCGGGGGAUAACUAUUGGAAACGAUAGCUAAUACCGCAUAACAGUAGAUGUUGCAUGAUAUCUACUUAAAAGGUGCAAUUGCACCACUACCAGAUGGACCUGCGUUGUAUUAGUAGUUGGUGGGGUAACGGCUCACCAAGGCGACGAUACAUAGCCGACCUGAGAGGGUGAUCGGCCACACCGGGACUGAGACACGGCCCAGACUCCUACGGGAGGCAGCAGUAGGGAAUCUUCGGCAAUGGACGGAAGUCUGACCGAGC